RNAcentral lists this long non-coding RNA (4702 nucleotides) under Sus scrofa (pig). RNAcentral describes it as "lncRNA (ENSSSCG00000045477.2)". The record is from RNAcentral. Lineage: Eukaryota; Metazoa; Chordata; Mammalia; Artiodactyla; Suidae.
CUUUCUUUCUUCCUUCCUUCCUUCCUUCCUUCCUUUCUUUCUUUUUCUUUCUUUUUAGUUUUACUGAAGUAUAGUUAAUUUACAAGGCUGUGAUAUUUUCUGCUGCACAAAAAAGUGACCCAGUGAUACAUAUACACAUAUCCAUUCUCUCUCAGAUUCAUUUCCCACAUAGAUUAUCACAGAAUUCUGUGCCAUACAGCAGGUCCCAUUGGCCAAUCAUUCUGUACCCUUCAGUGUAUGCCAAACCCUCAGCCAAUCCUAAACCCCCAGUCCAUCCCUACCCCCAAACCCCACUGUCCCCUUUGGUAAUUGUAAGUCUUCCAAAGUCUGUGAGUCUAUUUCUGUUCUGCAAAUGAGUUCAUUAUAUCAUUUUUUUAAAAAGAUUCCACAUAUAGGUGAUAUCAUAUGAUGUUUGUCUUUCAUUGUCUAACUUCACGUAGUAUGAUAGCUUCUAGGUCCAUCCAUGUUGCUGUAAAUGGCAUUAUUUCACUCUUAUUUAUGGCUGCGUAAUAUUCCAUUGUAUAUAUGUACCACAUCUUCUUUAUCGAUUCUCCUAUUGAUGGACCUUUAGGUUGCUUCCAUUAAUUGGCUAUUAUAAAUAGUGCUGCAGUGAACAAUGGGGUGCACAUAUCUUUUCAAAUAAGGAUUUUCUCUGGAUACGACGCCCUGGAGUGGGAUUGCUGGAUUGUAUGGUAGUUCUAUUUUCAGUUUUUUAAGGAACCUCCAUGCUGUUUUCAAUAGUGUUUGCCCCAAUGCACAUUCCCACCAACAGUGUAAGAGAGUUCCCUUUUCUCCACAUCCUCUCCAGCACUUAUUAUUUGUAGUCUUUGGGGGCAACAAGGGUGAAUAUGAUGCCAGCUGAGUUGGGUCAGGACUUUCAGAGAAGAACCUUGAAGGCACACACACAUGGCCUCAUCAUGACUUUUGUCUGUUGAAAUAACAAUUUGUCUCUCUAGGCCCUUCUUGCUGACAAAAUAUUAAAAAUGUAUCUUUUUUUUUUUUUUUGGUCUUUUUGCCUUUUCUAGGGCCACUCCUGUGGCAUAAGGAGGUUCCCAGGCUAGGGGUCGAAUCGGAGCUGUAGCCGCCGGCCUACACCACAGCCACAGCCACAGCCACACCAGAUCUGCGCUACGUCUACGACCUACACUACCACAGCUCCCGGCAACGCCGGAUCCUUUAACCCACUAGGCGAGGCCAGGGAUCAAACCUGUGUCCUUGUGCAUGCUAGUCAGAUUCAUUUCUGCGGAGCCACGACGGGAACUCUCUUUUGUAUUUUUCUUUUUUUUAAAAGUCUACAAUGCAUUACUUCAGGACUGGCGGGACAAAUAUUCCAGAUCACGAGGUCCGUGGCAAGGGGGUAGGGAUAAGGGUAUAGUGAGAGACCCGGGAUAAGGAAGGGCUCUUGGGUGACUUCCCGAAAUCCUAGGCCUGCUGGGUGGGCCUUAAGACCUGGAGGCUGGGAGAAGCCGAGCACCCACCAAGAGCACAGAGCCCAGGGCUAAGAGGAGCCUGACCCAGAACCUGACCCUCAGCUACUGGGGCCGGUAUCCUGUGUUUUCACAUCCCCAGGAACUGAAAGUGGCAGUAAUGUGCCGGGCUGCUAGAUGGCAAGUAUUCUCAGUUUCCUGCCUGAGUUAUAAGGAAACCCCCUGGUAGCUGGUAGUAACUGUGACAGCCUUUGUUUACUGAUAGGAUAGGCAGUACUUUCCUUCUCUCUCUCUUGUCUUCUUCGGGCCACACAGCAGCAUAGGGAAGUUCCCAGGCUAGAGGUCAAAUCGGAGCUGCAGAAGACUGUAGUCAGAGGAGCCAGCCAACUGGGUGGCUGACGACAGCCUCCUCCCCUGCAUCUCUGACUCCUGCUCCCCCCAUCACCUUCCCUCUGUGCUCACAGUGGUUUCUCUCCCAUAGCAGGUCAAAAUCUGUCCCAGACAAUCCUGAUCCCUAGGAGAAUUCCAGAAAACGCAUCCUCGGCCCAUACUUGAAUCAUUCGCUAUCCUCAAAUGAACAAGGCUCUUUUACUCCUCCUCUGUGGACUCCUGGCCAAAAAUGCUCUCGCUCUGCCACUUGAAAGUCUUCUUCUAUCCUUUAAGGUUCAGCUCAGAUGUACUCUGGUCCAUAAAGCCCAUGGGGAGAAAAUGUCUCAUGAUUGUUUGCCAAAAUCUUUCUGUAUAUGCCAUGUAUAUAUGCAUAGGCAUAUCUAUAUGUUUUGACACAAAAGACAUACUAUGUAGUACACUCUUCCCAGUGUUUCUAAUAUAUUUUAAAUACGUUUUCCUUACUUUUUCAAAACUGAUAAUUUUACCCAGGCAGAAUUUCGAAUUGUUUCAUAAGCUUCCUCUCCCCCCCCCCCGUAAUCAUUGAAAUUGUUAUUAAAUCUACCUUAAGGUUUAAAAAGUAAUCUGGAGAAAAUGAUUAUUGUACGUAUCCAGUGAACUUCUUCUAAAGAGAGCAUUUCGCAAGCACAGUCAUCCCUCGGUGUCCCCAGGAAACUGGUUCCAGGAGUCCCCACACAAGGUUGGGCCAGGGCUGGGGUUCCCAGCCGGCGGGGGUCAUGCUGGGGCUGGGACAGAGGCAGGUCUGCACAGAACUGUUUACAGCGUUACGCAGGUGGAUGAGGACAGACCCCGGCAGCGUGUUCUCAUCUACAGAGAGAGCAGGGUAUCCCCCGGAAAGCAAGGCCAUCACCAUAGGAAGAGUGGAUCCCUGGAAGGAAGACGUUGGGCCAAGCAAAGCUCACCUCCAUCCUGCAUGUCCUGGUCUUCAGCAGAAAGCAGGGACCUGCAUCACCUGGCUCCUGGGGGUUCGCUGGGAAAACCUCUUCCUGUACCCACUGCUGUCUUGAGCGUUCCGUUGUUGCUAUCAUUGUAACGACUUCCACUUACGUUUUCCCAAGAAAAGAAGUGUCCUGAAAUUUGUGUAUCAAUUUGGGGAGGUCCCUUUGUGGCUCAGCGGUUAACGAGCCCGACUAGGAUCCAUGAGGAUGCGGGUUCGACCCCUGGCCCUGCUCAGUGGGUUAAGGAUCUGGCGUUGCCGUGAGUUGUGGUGUGGCUCUCAGACUCAGCUUGGAUCCUGUGUUGCUGUGGCUCUGGCGUAGGCCGGCAGCUGUAGCUCUGAUUAGACCCCUAGCCUGGGAACCUCCACAUGCCUCAGAUGCAACCCUAAAAAGCAAAAAGCCAAAAGCAACCAACCAAACAAAAGCAUCCGUCUAAAGGAGAUACACCAACAUACUCAAUCACGUACCUGACCAUGAACUUUACACUUAACCUCUUCUGUGUGUACCUGCUUGCUUUUCUCUGCCAUGUGGGCCCUGGUCCUGAUCUACCUUGCUGCCGCUUUGAACGGGGGCUAUUGCGUGCUGCCAACCUGUGGAGCCUUUAACAACGUUCAAAGGUAUGUUUAAGGGAGAACAGGAAGGGUUUCUUAUUUCGUUUUAAAAGUUGGGCACACUGUGUAUCCCGGUGCCCAGUAGGAAGAGCAGCCAGCUCAUCACACUCGUACUUUCCAGUUUGGAGCCCCUCCCAUUCUUGCACAUGUUCUAAUGGUCCGUUACCGCGUGACUUUUGCCUUACAUUUUCUUCUGAUUUUAAAAGGAUCCAUGAGGUAAACACAUCCUGAGAUGACUGCCCAUGAGCCGGGCCCUGUGUCAUCCCACCCCUGGGUGUGGGCAGAAUCUCUGACCUGCUUCACACCAAGAACACACUAAGGGGAUAGGAUGUCACUCCCUGACUGGGUCACAUUCUGUGGCAGAGGGGCAGGAUGCCACUCUCUUUCUCUCAGUUACACCCGCCCUCCACCAUACCUCCAGUCAGAUCUCGUCUCUCUCCACAUACCGCCCAUGUCACUUGCAGCGCCAGGGGGUGAGGUGAGGGGCACUCUCAUCAUACGCAGGAUCAUACGCUGGAAGAUAAGCAUCCUCCAGCUAGGCAACAGCGCGCAGGAGGACACCCCCAGCACCUACAGAGGCUCCUCCGAUGCUCACCGCAUGGCAGCCCCACGAGGGCCAGGGGUAGGGGCAGUGGGGGAACGCCGUUGUAGAAAUAUAAAUGGCCCAUUACUGCAGCCAUCAGAUAAUACGCCAAGGUUCCUGUGAGAAAUCUCUUUCUAACGUUGGGCUAGUGGGCUCUUGACUGUAGCUGAGGACCGGGAGGAAUCUGUCCAUGAAAAUACGCCCCGAAGCGGUACCUGGGUGGCACACGAGGUCACCCAACUCAGUUACACCUGCCCCGGGAGAAGAAGGAACAGAGGCCACAACCACUGCUGUCCUCCCCUGUGGUUCGCUCUGGUAGUUUCACGCCUGCGGUUUCCUCUCUGUGUCCUUCCUCAAAAUGGGAGAGUUCCACAUCCAACUGGGCUUCUGAAAGCACAGUACCUUCCUUCACAGAUGAGGUCCGAGAGCAGCCAGGUGGUACGUGACUGUCGUGUAAAGCCCAUCGAUGGGUGAACGGAUAAAGCAAUUGUGAGGUAUAUCAUACAUGUAUUAUAUAUGUAUAAUCACUAUAUAUAUCAUAUGUAACAAUAAAUACAAUGCAUAUGAUAUGUCAUAUAUCGCCUAUAUAUAUCACACAGACCAUGGAACAUCAUUUCGCCAUAAAAAGAGGGAAAUCCUGCCAUUUCACUGACGACAUGGGGAGGCCUCGAGGGCAUUAUGCUGGUGAACUAAGUCAGGCAGAGAAAGACAAUAAAUAUAAUCCCUCUCAUAGGU